GACGAACGCUGGCGGCGUGCUUAACACAUGCAAGUCGAACGGAAAGGCCCUGCUUUUGUGGGGUGCUCGAGUGGCGAACGGGGGAGUAACACGUGAGUAACCUGCCCUUGACUUUGGGAUAACUUCAGGAAACUGGGGCUAAUACCGGAUAGGAGCUCCUGCUGCAUGGGGGGGGGUGGAAAGUUUCGGCGGGUGGGGAUGGACGCGCGGCUUAUCAGCUUGUUGGUGGGGUAGUGGCUUACCAAGGCUUUGACGGGUAGCCGGCCUGAGAGGGUGACCGGCGACAUUGGGACUGAGAUACGGCCCAGACUCCAACGGGAGGCAGCAGUGGGGAGUAUUGCACAAUGGGCGGAAGCCUGAUGCAGCAACGCCGCGUGCGGGAUGCCGGCCUUCGGGGUGUAAACCGCUUUCGCCUGUGACGAAGCGUGAGUGACGGUAAUGGGUAAAGAAGCACCGGCUAACUACGUG
This 468-nucleotide ribosomal RNA is filed under the name uncultured bacterium. Its description in RNAcentral is "partial 16S ribosomal RNA". It matches the Rfam family "Bacterial small subunit ribosomal RNA", at positions 28 to 507 of the family's 1533-position model. The record is from RNAcentral.